AGGGGACAGGGCUGUAGUACCCUGGGCUUGCCCACAUGAGGCCCAGCAACUGGGAGCCAUGCCAGCAUGCCGCUGGCCAGGGACGGUUUGUGCAGAGUUUGAGGCCUCUCUCAGCAUCGUGGGUGGGCAGGAAAGGUGGGGCUGUGGUUGGCAGCUCAAUGAAACAGGAGUCUGAGGAUGAAGCCUGGUGUCUGGGCAGCUUCUGCAUGCCCACCCAAGAUGGCUCUCUGGGCAGGGCCAAGGGUGGUGUGUUACAUAGUACCAAUGGGCACAGGACAGUGUUUUCAGCACAGAGCAGUGGCCAGGCCACCCAAAGGAGCUCCGCCUGGACUUUGGCUCAGCGGUGCCACUGAGGACCCGUGUGACUCGCCAGCUCAUUCUCACCAAUCGCUCCCCAAUACGGACCCCUUUCUCCCUCAAGUUUGAGUACUUCGGGAGCCCCCAAAACAGCCUGAGCAAAAAGACCAGCCUUCCCGACAUGCCUCCUGUCCUGCUAAAGACAGUGCGGAUGCAAGAGCACCUGGCCAAGCGA
This 532-nucleotide small RNA is filed under the name Pan troglodytes (chimpanzee). RNAcentral describes it as "retained intron". Lineage: Eukaryota; Metazoa; Chordata; Mammalia; Primates; Hominidae. The record is from RNAcentral.